GAACUUCUUUUAUCGCACUGGAGAAAAUGUGUAUUUUUUUUAGCUCAGUAUCAUGGAUUCGCUUGGGUGUUAAGAAACUAGGGACCAAGCUUACAAAAAUGCCGCUCAAGUCACCUCAUGCAGCUUGCCAUUUGAUCCGUAUGGUUUGUAAACUUAUUAAAGAAGAACAAAGUGCUGGUGAAGAGGUGACGUCGCUAAUGGAUUACCUUUGAAUCGUGUCUUCGCCACAAGUCUGAAAUGGUGAUCUACGAGGCUGCUCACGCGAUUGCAAACCUUCGUCGAACUGGAUCUCGUGAAUUGGCUCCUGCUAUCGCCGUGUUGCAGCUCUUCUGCUCCUCACCUAAGCCUGCCUUACGCUUUGCUGCCGUUCGGACCCUAUUAUGAAAUGUGGCAAUGACGCACCCC
Daphnia pulicaria is the source of this 405-nucleotide long non-coding RNA. RefSeq lists it as uncharacterized. The record is from RefSeq and is a predicted model, not a curated record. The transcript has 4 exons. Lineage: Eukaryota; Metazoa; Arthropoda; Branchiopoda; Diplostraca; Daphniidae.